Puntigrus tetrazona (Sumatra barb) is the source of this 1679-nucleotide long non-coding RNA. RefSeq lists it as uncharacterized. Lineage: Eukaryota; Metazoa; Chordata; Actinopteri; Cypriniformes; Cyprinidae. The record is from RefSeq and is a predicted model, not a curated record. The transcript is spliced from 4 exons.
UAAUCAGCCAAUCACAGCCGGGUUCGGCCAAUCCCACAGCCAAUCACACGCUCUCUGCUUUUUUUCUCAAUAUAUAUAUUUUUGCUCUAUUAGAUUACAGAUUUUUAAUUAGUUGUUUCUCAGACAAAUAAACUAUCAAUGAAAAGAUUAUUUAUUCAGCUUACAGAUGAUGUAAACAUCUCAAUUUCAGUAAAUUGAUUUAUGACUUAUGACUGGUUUUGUGGUCCUGUGGAUGUACAAACACACAGACAAUAAUUCUGUAUGUAAAACAUUAUUCAUCUGAAUAUGAGAGUAUUGAUGAUGCUGUGUGAUUACCCAUGAGCCCUCACUGUUCUGAUUUACGGAGAUGCUUCAUGUUCGGCUCACAGUGUGUGAUGAAUCAUGUGAAUCAGGAGGAAAUGAGGAGUAAAUCGAGAGUGAGUCCUGUGAGUCUGGAGUGAAUUGAGUGAGUCAGGAGUAAUUCAGGAGUGAGUCGUGUGAGCUGUGUGAGUCAGGAGUGAUUCAGGUGAGUCAGGAGUGAUUCAGGUGAGUCAGGAGUGAUUCGGUUGAGUCAUUCAGGUGUGUCAGGAGUGAUUCAGGAGUUAUUCAGGUGUGUCAGGAGUGAAUUGUAUCUGCCAGGAGUGAUUCAGGUGAGUCAGGAGUGAUUCAGGUGAGUCAUUCAGGUGUGUCAGGAGUGAAUUGUAUCUGUCAGGAGUGAGUCGUGUGAGCUGUGUGAGUCAGGAGUGAUUCAGGUGUGUCAGGAGUGAUUCAGGUGUGUCAGGAGUGAAUCAGGAGUGAUUCUGGUGAGUCAGGAGUGAUUCUGGUGAGUCAGGAGUGAAUCAGGAGUGAUUCUGGUGAGUCAGGAGUGAUUCUGGUGUGUCAGGAGUGAUUCUGGUGUGUCAGGAGUGAUUCUGGUGAGUCAAGAGUGAUUCUGGUGAGUCAGUCAGUAGUGAUUCGGGAGUGAGUUGUGUGAGUCAGGAGUGAUUUGGGUGAGUCAGUCAGGAGUGAAUCGGGAGUGAUUUAGGUGUGUCAGGAGUGAAUCAGGAGUGAUUCUGGUGAGUCAGGAGUGAUUCUGGUGUGUCAGUCAGUAGUGAUUCGGGAGUGAGUUGUGUGAGUCAGGAGUGAUUUGGGUGAGUCAGUCAGGAGUGAAUCGGGAGUGAUUUAGGUGUGUCAGGAGUGAAUCGGGAGUGAUUUAGGUGUGCCAGGAUUGAAUCAGGAGUGAUUCUGGUGAGUCAGGAGUGAAUCAGGAGUGAUUCUGGUGAGUCAGGAGUGAUUUGGGUGAGUCAGUCAGGAGUGAAUCGGGAGUGAUUUAGGUGUGCCAGGAGUGAAUCAGGAGUGAUUCUGGUGAGUCAGGAGUGAUUCUGGUGUGUCAGGAGUGAAUUGUAUCUGUCAGGAGUGAGUCGUGUGAGCUGUGUGAGUCAGGAGUGAUUCAGGUGUGUCAGGAGUGAUUCAGGUGUGUCAGGAGUGAUUCAGGUGUGUCAGGAGUGAAUCAGGAGUGAUUCUGGUGAGUCAGGAGUGAUUCUGGUGAGUCAGGAGUGAAUCAGGAGUGAUUCUGGUGAGUCAGGAGUGAUUCUGGUGUGUCAGGAGUGAAUCAGGAGUGAUUCUGGUGAGUCAGGAGUGAUUCUGGUGUGUCAGUCAGUAGUGAUUCGGGAGUGAGUUGUGUGAGUCAGGAGUGAUUUGGGUGAGUCAGUCAGGAGUGA